GGCUCGGUGGUGGGUGGCCCACGCUCGUAUUAUAAUGCUAUGCACAGCACAUGUCGUACACUUUGCGAGAACCGCGCGUUCGAUUCGCGCCUGAGCCA
Non-coding RNA from Mycena polygramma, 98 nucleotides. NCBI's taxonomy places the organism in Eukaryota, Fungi, Basidiomycota, Agaricomycetes, Agaricales, Mycenaceae. The record is from the annotation of a GenBank genome assembly.